Molecule: ribosomal RNA, 152 nt
Filed under: Limosilactobacillus fermentum ATCC 14931
Lineage: Bacteria; Bacillati; Bacillota; Bacilli; Lactobacillales; Lactobacillaceae
Source: RNAcentral
AAGGGCGCAUGGUGAAUGCCUUGGUACUAGGAGCCGAUGAAGGACGGGACUAACACCGAUAUGCUUCGGGGAGCGGUAAGUACGCUUUGAUCCGGAGAUUUCCGAAUGGGGAAACCCAAUCAUCUUAGUCGAUGAUUACUUGAGCAGUGAAU